RNAcentral lists this transfer RNA (87 nucleotides) under Chlorella heliozoae. Its description in RNAcentral is "tRNA-Ser". It matches the Rfam family "tRNA". From Rfam's summary of the family: Transfer RNA (tRNA) molecules are approximately 80 nucleotides in length. Their secondary structure includes four short double-helical elements and three loops (D, anti-codon, and T loops). Lineage: Eukaryota; Viridiplantae; Chlorophyta; Trebouxiophyceae; Chlorellales; Chlorellaceae. The record is from RNAcentral.
GGAAAGAUGUCCGAGUGGUUGAAGGUGUAGACCUGGAACGUCUAUGUGGUAGAAAUAUUACCGAGGGUUCGACUCCCUCUCUUUCCG